RNAcentral lists this ribosomal RNA (1366 nucleotides) under uncultured bacterium. Its description in RNAcentral is "16S ribosomal RNA". It matches the Rfam family "Bacterial small subunit ribosomal RNA", at positions 46 to 1399 of the family's 1533-position model. The record is from RNAcentral.
GCUUAACACAUGCAAGUCGAGGGGCAGCGGGGGCGAAGCUUGCUUCGCCUGCCGGCGACCGGCGCACGGGUGAGUAACACGUAUGCGACCUGCCCCCCGCAGGGGGAUAACCGGGAGAAAUCCCGACUAAUACCGCGUAACGCCGCUGGGCUGCAUGGCCCGGCGGCCAAAGGAAGCGAUUCCGGCGGGGGAUGGGCAUGCGGCGCAUUAGCUAGUCGGCGGGGUAACGGCCCACCGAGGCGACGAUGCGUAGGGGUUCUGAGAGGAAGGUCCCCCACACUGGUACUGAGACACGGACCAGACUCCUACGGGAGGCAGCAGUGAGGAAUAUUGGUCAAUGGGCGGGAGCCUGAACCAGCCAAGUCGCGUGAGGGAAGACGGUCCUACGGAUUGUAAACCUCUUUUGCCGGGGAGCAACGGGGUCCUUGCGAGGGCCCGAUGAGAGUACCCGGAGAAAAAGCAUCGGCUAACUCCGUGCCAGCAGCCGCGGUAAUACGGAGGAUGCGAGCGUUAUCCGGAUUUAUUGGGUUUAAAGGGUGCGUAGGCGGGCUGUUAAGUCAGCGGUCAAAUGUCGGGGCUCAACCCCGGCCUGCCGUUGAAACUGGCGGCCUCGAGUGGGCGAGAAGUAUGCGGAAUGCGUGGUGUAGCGGUGAAAUGCAUAGAUAUCACGCAGAACUCCGAUUGCGAAGGCAGCAUACCGGCGCCCGACUGACGCUGAGGCACGAAAGCGUGGGUAUCGAACAGGAUUAGAUACCCUGGUAGUCCACGCAGUAAACGAUGAAUGCUAGCUGUCCGGUUCUACGGGACUGGGUGGCACAGCGAAAGCGUUAAGCAUUCCACCUGGGGAGUACGCCGGCAACGGUGAAACUCAAAGGAAUUGACGGGGGCCCGCACAAGCGGAGGAACAUGUGGUUUAAUUCGAUGAUACGCGAGGAACCUUACCCGGGCUCAAACGCCAAAGGACAGCCGUUGAAAGGCGGCCUCCCUCCGGGGUCUUUGGCGAGGUGCUGCAUGGUUGUCGUCAGCUCGUGCCGUGAGGUGUCGGCUUAAGUGCCAUAACGAGCGCAACCCCCAUCGACAGUUGCUAACGGGUAGAGCCGAGGACUCUGUCGAGACUGCCGGCGCAAGCUGCGAGGAAGGCGGGGAUGACGUCAAAUCAGCACGGCCCUUACGUCCGGGGCGACACACGUGUUACAAUGGCCGGUACAGCGGGAUGCCAGGGCGCGAGCCCGAGCGGAACCCGAAAACCGGUCUCAGUUCGGAUUGGAGUCUGCAACCCGACUCCAUGAAGCUGGAUUCGCUAGUAAUCGCGCAUCAGCCACGGCGCGGUGAAUACGUUCCCGGGCCUUGCACACAACGCCCGUCA